RNAcentral lists this ribosomal RNA (252 nucleotides) under uncultured bacterium. RNAcentral's name for it is "partial 16S ribosomal RNA". It matches the Rfam family "Bacterial small subunit ribosomal RNA", at positions 524 to 776 of the family's 1533-position model. The record is from RNAcentral.
UACGUAGGGUGCAAGCGUUAUCCGGAAUUAUUGGGCGUAAAGAGCUCGUAGGCGGUUUGUCGCGUCUGCUGUGAAAAUGGAGGCUCAACCUCCAGCCUGCAGUGGGUACGGGCAGACUAGAGUGCGGUAGGGGAGAUUGGAAUUCCUGGUGUAGCGGUGGAAUGCGCAGAUAUCAGGAGGAACACCGAUGGCGAAGGCAGAUCUCUGGGCCGUAACUGACGCUGAGGAGCGAAAGCAUGGGGAGCGAACAGG